UCUAUCAACUUUGUUGCAACAAUCCUAACUCCAAUUUGCCUGCAAUUAGGGAAAAGUGUAGUCAGCACAAGAUAUGUUGAAUUUGUGUUUUUGGUACAAAAAUGUGGCCAAGAAGUAUUGCUCUCCCUCAAUACCUUCAGAAUAUUUUCAGAAUUGAGGAAAGAUACAGUUGAAUUGCCGGUUCUCAAGAGAGAAGGCCACUCUUCUCUUAUCAUUGUAUAUGUAGUUACCGUUUUUCCCACCUUGAUUAGAAGAGUUCUUGUUGUAUCUGCUUUUCAUUUGAUGUGGCAUGUUGUUUUUGCCUUCAUUUUUUUCAAUACAUAUAUGUAAUAUACAUAAAUAUAAAUUUAUUUGUAUUAGAAUCCAUUUUCCAUUUCAUCUUUAUAUGAUUUUCAAUAAUUAUUGACAUUCGAUUUUAAUAAAUAGUUAUCUAUCUUUGAUUAUUCA
Arachis ipaensis is the source of this 447-nucleotide non-coding RNA. Lineage: Eukaryota; Viridiplantae; Streptophyta; Magnoliopsida; Fabales; Fabaceae. The record is from RefSeq and is a predicted model, not a curated record.